Molecule: long non-coding RNA, 901 nt
Filed under: Homo sapiens (human)
Lineage: Eukaryota; Metazoa; Chordata; Mammalia; Primates; Hominidae
Description: HSALNT0233299
Source: RNAcentral
CCCAGAGUGAAAGACAGAGGAACCAAUCGAGGCUCGGCUGACCUCAGACGUCUAAGGCGAUAGGCGUUGCUAAGAAAAGGGGGUGGGACGAUACCCAGUUGCCAAGACGACGGCUUCCGGGUGGGCGGCUUGAGGUGGCUUCCGGCCGCCAGGCGAGACUCCGCGGGAAAACUCCCUGCUAGAGAGACUAGGAGAUUUGGGGCUGCGGCCGUUUCCUCCGGAGCACCCACGGGACUGUGUGCUGGGGUCCCUCCACCGGCUGUGUCCUUUAUUCUUCUUUCUCACCCAACGAUUUACCUGAACGGUUAUAAAGUGCACGUUAUUUCCCUAAGCACUUUGAGUAUAUUGGCCCACUGCAUUCUGGACUUCAAAAUUUCUGAUGCGAAAUAUGCUGAUACUUUUGUUGAAGAAAUCUGGUCCUUCUUACUGAUGUGUUGCUCUUCUUCAUGGCUCGUGAAAACUAUUAGAGUCAUCCAAGGUCCUGACAUCCACUGCCUUCACUCAAACCCUUCUGGCCAGUUCCAUCCUACAGAUUCUAAGUUCCUGACUCAGAAUCUUACUGUUGUGAACCUUUACACCCAGGUUUGGAGACAGAAAGGAGCACCGCCAAGUGAGGCAGAGCAGUCUCAGAAACAUAGGAAAAUGUAAGAAACUUAAGACUUGGAACAGUUUUUUGUUGUUGUUUUUUUUUUUUUUUUUUUUUUUUUUUUAAUUAGAAGAGGAACAAAGGACAUUGGGUCACAGUUUCUAAAAUAAACAUGAGCAUUAGGGCAUAUAUAAUAGCACAAUAUGAACCAAACUGAUAAAAAGCAGUGUCACAAUAUCUAUGAUAUACAUUUAUGGCUUAUAUGAAUUGAACAUUAACUUCAGUUUAAGGAUGCUUAGUCUUCAUUGUUCAUAG